AUGUCUCUCCUCUCUCACUCUCCUCUCUCUCUCUCUCUCUCUCUCCCUCCACUAUCUCUCUAUCUCUCUCCUCCUCUCUCUCUCUGUUUCCUUCUCUAUGUCUCUCCUCUCUCUCUCUCCUGUCUCUGUUUCCUUCUCUCUCUCUCCUCUCUCUCUUCUCCUCCUCUCUCUCUCCCUCCACUAUCUCUCUCUUCUCUCUCCUCUCUCACUCUCCUCUCUUUCUCUACUCUUCUCCUCCUCUCUCUCCCUCCACUAUCUCUCUCUUCUCUCUCUCUCCUCUCUGUUUCCUUCUCUCUCUGCUCUCUCUCUUCUCCUCCUCUAUCUCUCUCUUCUCUCUCCAUCUCUCUCUCUGCUCUCUCUUCUCCUCCUCUAUCUCUCUCCCUCCACUAUCUCUCUCCAUCUCUCUCUCUGCUCUCUCUUCUCCUCCUCUCUCUCUCUCUCUCCACUAUCUCUCUCUUCUCUCUCCAUCUCUCUCUGCUCUCUCUUCUCCUCCUCUCUCUCUCCCUCCACUAUCUCUCCCUUCUCUCUCUCUGCUCUCUCUUCUCCUCCUCUCUCUCUCUCCCUCCACUAUCUCUCUUCUCUCUCCAUCUCUCUCUCUGCUCUCUCUUCUCCUCCUCUCUCUCUCCCUCCACUAUCUCUCUCUUCUCUCUCCAUCUCUCUCUCUGCUCUGUCUCUUCUCCUCCUCUCUCUCUCCCUCCACUAUCUCUCUCUUCUCUCUCCAUCUCUCUCUCUGCUCUCUCUUCUCCUCCUCCUCUCUCUCUCCCUCCACUAUCUCUCUCUUCUCUCUCCAUCUCUCUCUCUGCUCUCUCUUCUCCUCCUCUCUCUCUCUCCCUCCACUAUCUCUCUCUUCUCUCUCCAUCUCUCUCUCUCUCUCACACACACACACACACACACACACACACACACACACACACACACACACACACACACACACACACACACACACGCACACACACAUCCUCAAAGAAAACCGAAAACACAGUCUGCACGACACUCCAGGCCAUCAACAUCAUCACAGUUCUAUAUUCAGUCUGGAGAACAGAGGGAGGGGAGAGGAAGAGCAGAGGAGGGAGGACGAUUGGAGGGAUGGUGGGGGAACAGCUAAGCAGCCGUCACUUCCUGUUUACUAUAGCAGCUUCCUAUUCCACACAGAGAGAUGAGAGACUGUUGCUGUUACUAGGCACUUUCUGCCGUCUACUGGUCAUCUACUGGCACUGCCGUAUAUCCACACUACUAACGAAGACCACUGCCAUCUAG
Molecule: long non-coding RNA, 1257 nt
Filed under: Oncorhynchus mykiss (rainbow trout)
Lineage: Eukaryota; Metazoa; Chordata; Actinopteri; Salmoniformes; Salmonidae
Description: lncRNA (ENSOMYG00000060944.1)
Source: RNAcentral